RNAcentral lists this long non-coding RNA (397 nucleotides) under Rattus norvegicus (Norway rat). Its description in RNAcentral is "long non-coding RNA NONRATT003925". Lineage: Eukaryota; Metazoa; Chordata; Mammalia; Rodentia; Muridae. The record is from RNAcentral.
GAAGGAACAGGAAUUGCACUAAGAACCAAAGAUCUGGAUUGCUCUCGGGUCUCUGUUGCCCCUUGUUUAAUCUUUACUUUGUCUAUUUAUGGUGUCUGCUUUCCCUCCCUGUCGAGGCCCUGCAGUCUAGGCCCCUGGAUCUUAGAACCGAAUGACAAUGAAGUCCACUGUUUGCAAAGUGGUUCGUUUUCUCAGAAACAUGCCGACUUGCUCACUGUACAGGAGGCGUGCAACGGGUACAUCCCGCAAACCAACGCCUUCAAAUUAAGUGACCCUCUCUCUCCUGUUAGGGAAUUGUGGUGACUAGGUCCUACCAGGGAGGCCUGGAAGAAAGGUAGAAACCCAGGGAGGAUUUGCUGCUGCACAGAGAGGGGAAAGAGGAUAACUGAAAGAGACU